GAUGAACGCUGGCGGCGUGCCUAAUACAUGCAAGUCGAGCGAACGGACGAGAAGCUUGCUUUUCUGAUGUUAGCGGCGGACGGGUGAGUAACACGUGGAUAACCUACCUAUAAGACUGGGAUAACUUCGGGAAACCGGAGCUAAUACCGGAUAAUAUUUUGAACCGCAUGGUUCAAAAGUGAGAGACGGUCUUGCUGUCACUUAUAGAUGGGUCCGCGCUGCAUUAGCUAGUUGGUAAGGUAACGGCUUACCAAGGCAACGAUGCAUAGCCGACCUGAGAGGGUGAUCGGCCACACUGGAACUGAGACACGGUCCAGACUCCUACGGGAGGCAGCAGUAGGGAAUCUUCCGCAAUGGGCGAAAGCCUGACGGAGCAACGCCGCGUGAGUGAUGAAGGUCUUCGGAUCGUAAAACUCUGUUAUUAGGGAAGAACAUAUGUGUAAGUAACUGUGCACAUCUUGACGGUACCUAAUCAGAAAGCCACGGCUAACUACGUG
Molecule: ribosomal RNA, 497 nt
Filed under: uncultured bacterium
Lineage: Bacteria
Description: partial 16S ribosomal RNA
Rfam family: Bacterial small subunit ribosomal RNA
Source: RNAcentral